AAAUUGAAGAGUUUGAUCAUGGCUCAGAUUGAACGCUGGCGGCAGGCCUAACACAUGCAAGUCGAACGGUAACAGGAAACAGCUUGCUGUUUCGCUGACGAGUGGCGGACGGGUGAGUAAUGUCUGGGAAACUGCCUGAUGGAGGGGGAUAACUACUGGAAACGGUAGCUAAUACCGCAUAAUGUCGCAAGACUAAAGAGGGGGACCUUCGGGCCUCUUGCCAUCGGAUGUGCCCAGAUGGGAUUAGCUAGUAGGUGGGGUAACGGCUCACCUAGGCGACGAUCCCUAGCUGGUCUGAGAGGAUGACCAGCCACACUGGAACUGAGACACGGUCCAGACUCCUACGGGAGGCAGCAGUGGGGAAUAUUGCACAAUGGGCGCAAGCCUGAUGCAGCCAUGCCGCGUGUAUGAAGAAGGCCUUCGGGUUGUAAAGUACUUUCAGCGGGGAGGAAGGGAGUAAAGUUA
This 465-nucleotide ribosomal RNA is filed under the name Shigella sonnei. RNAcentral describes it as "bacterial SSU rRNA". It matches the Rfam family "Bacterial small subunit ribosomal RNA", at positions 1 to 462 of the family's 1533-position model. The record is from RNAcentral. Lineage: Bacteria; Pseudomonadati; Pseudomonadota; Gammaproteobacteria; Enterobacterales; Enterobacteriaceae.